UACGUAGGGGGCAAGCGUUGUCCGGAUUUAUUGGGCGUAAAGAGCUCGUAGGCGGUGUGUCGCGUCGGCCGUGAAAACCUGCAGCUUAACUGUGGGCUUGCGGUCGAUACGGGCAUCACUGGAGUUCGGCAGGGGAGACUGGAAUUCCUGGUGUAGCGGUGAAAUGCGCAGAUAUCAGGAGGAACACCGGUGGCGAAGGCGGGUCUCUGGGCCGAUACUGACGCUGAGGCGCGAAAGCGUGGGGAGCGAACAGG
Molecule: ribosomal RNA, 254 nt
Filed under: uncultured bacterium
Lineage: Bacteria
Description: partial 16S ribosomal RNA
Rfam family: Bacterial small subunit ribosomal RNA
Source: RNAcentral